This is a transfer RNA of Felis catus (domestic cat), 92 nucleotides long. It matches the Rfam family "tRNA". Rfam says of the family: Transfer RNA (tRNA) molecules are approximately 80 nucleotides in length. Their secondary structure includes four short double-helical elements and three loops (D, anti-codon, and T loops). Lineage: Eukaryota; Metazoa; Chordata; Mammalia; Carnivora; Felidae. The record is from Rfam.
GCCUGGGUGGCUCAGCGGGUUGAGCAUCUGACUCUUGAUUUCAGCUCAGGUCUGGAACUCAUGGUUCGUGGGUUCAAGCCCCGUGUCAGGCU